RNAcentral lists this ribosomal RNA (505 nucleotides) under uncultured bacterium. RNAcentral describes it as "bacterial SSU rRNA". It matches the Rfam family "Bacterial small subunit ribosomal RNA", at positions 19 to 518 of the family's 1533-position model. The record is from RNAcentral.
AUGGCUCAGGAUGAACGCUAGCGGCAGGCUUAACACAUGCAAGUCGAGGGGCAACGCGAGUAGCAAUACUUGGCGGCGACCGGCGCAAGGGUGCGUAACGCGUGAGCAACAUGCCCGUAUCAGGGGGAUAAUCCAGGGAAACUUGGUCUAAUACCCCAUAGUAAUUUUGUAAGGCAUCUUAUAAGAUUUAAAGCUUUGGUGGAUACGGAUUGGCUCGCGUGACAUUAGCUGGAUGGUAAGGUAACGGCUUACCAUGGCUAUGAUGUCUAGGGGUUCUGAGAGGAAGGUCCCCCACACUGGAACUGAGACACGGUCCAGACUCCUACGGGAGGCAGCAGUGAGGAAUAUUGGACAAUGGAUGGAAAUCUGAUCCAGCCAUGCCGCGUGAAGGAAAGAAGGUCCUAUGGAUUGUAAACUUCUUUUGUAUGGGAGCAGUAAGGCCUACGUGUAGGUUGAUGAGAGUACCAUACGAAUAAGCACCGGCUAACUCCGUGCCAGCCGCUGC